GCUACAGGCUUAACACAUGCAAGUCGAGGGGCAGCAUCAUCAAAGCUUGCUUUGAUGGAUGGCGACCGGCGCACGGGUGAGUAACACGUAUCCAACCUGCCGACAACACUGGGAUAGCCUUUCGAAAGAAAGAUUAAUACCGGAUGGCAUAGUUUUCCCGCAUGGGAUAAUUAUUAAAGAAUUUCGGUUGUCGAUGGGGAUGCGUUCCAUUAGGCAGUUGGCGGGGUAACGGCCCACCAAACCGACGAUGGAUAGGGGUUCUGAGAGGAAGGUCCCCCACAUUGGAACUGAGACACGGUCCAAACUCCUACGGGAGGCAGCAGUGAGGAAUAUUGGUCAAUGGACGAGAGUCUGAACCAGCCAAGUAGCGUGAAGGAUGACUGCCCUAUGGGUUGUAAACUUCUUUUAUACGGGAAUAAAGUUAGCCACGUGUGGCUUUUUGUAUGUACCGUAUGAAUAAGGAUCGGCUAACUCCGUGCCAGCAGCCGCGGUAAUACGGAGGAUCCGAGCGUUAUCCGGAUUUAUUGGGUUUAAAGGGAGCGUAGGCGGGUUGUUAAGUCAGUUGUGAAAGUUUGCGGCUCAACCGUAAAAUUGCAGUUGAUACUGGCGACCUUGAGUGCAACAGAGGUAGGCGGAAUUCGUGGUGUAGCGGUGAAAUGCUUAGAUAUCACGAAGAACUCCGAUUGCGAAGGCAGCUUACUGGAUUGUAACUGACGCUGAUGCUCGAAAGUGUGGGUAUCAAACAGGAUUAGAUACCCUGGUAGUCCACACAGUAAACGAUGAAUACUCGCUGUUGGCGAUAUACAGUCAGCGGCCAAGCGAAAGCAUUAAGUAUUCCACCUGGGGAGUACGCCGGCAACGGUGAAACUCAAAGGAAUUGACGGGGGCCCGCACAAGCGGAGGAACAUGUGGUUUAAUUCGAUGAUACGCGAGGAACCUUACCCGGGCUUAAAUUGCAACUGACGGAACCGGAAACGGUUCUUUCUUCGGACAGUUGUGAAGGUGCUGCAUGGUUGUCGUCAGCUCGUGCCGUGAGGUGUCGGCUUAAGUGCCAUAACGAGCGCAACCCUUAUCGAUAGUUACUAGCAGGUCAUGCUGAGGACUCUAUUGAGACUGCCGUCGUAAGAUGUGAGGAAGGUGGGGAUGACGUCAAAUCAGCACGGCCCUUACGUCCGGGGCUACACACGUGUUACAAUGGGGGGUACAGAAGGCAGCUACACGGCGACGUGGUGCUAAUCCCGAAAGCCUCUCUCAGUUCGGAUUGGAGUCUGCAACCCGACUCCAUGAAGCUGGAUUCGCUAGUAAUCGCGCAUCAGCCACGGCGCGGUGAAUACGUUCCCGGGCCUUGUACACACCGCCCGUCAAGCCAUGAAAGCCGGGGGUACCUGAAGUACGUAAACGCGAGGAGCGUCCUAGGGUAAAACUGGUGAUUGGGGCUAA
This 1440-nucleotide ribosomal RNA is filed under the name uncultured organism. Its description in RNAcentral is "SSU rRNA". It matches the Rfam family "Bacterial small subunit ribosomal RNA". The record is from RNAcentral.